RNAcentral lists this transfer RNA (84 nucleotides) under Lachnospiraceae bacterium. RNAcentral's name for it is "tRNA-Leu". It matches the Rfam family "tRNA". From Rfam's summary of the family: Transfer RNA (tRNA) molecules are approximately 80 nucleotides in length. Their secondary structure includes four short double-helical elements and three loops (D, anti-codon, and T loops). Further hydrogen bonds mediate the characteristic L-shaped molecular structure. tRNAs have two regions of fundamental functional importance: the anti-codon, which is responsible for specific mRNA codon recognition, and the 3' end, to which the tRNAs corresponding amino acid is attached (by aminoacyl-tRNA synthetases). tRNAs cope with the degeneracy of the genetic code in two manners: having more than one tRNA (with a specific anti-codon) for a particular amino acid; and 'wobble' base-pairing, i.e. permitting non-standard base-pairing at the 3rd anti-codon position. The record is from RNAcentral. Lineage: Bacteria; Bacillati; Bacillota; Clostridia; Lachnospirales; Lachnospiraceae.
GCGGAAGUGUCGGAAUUGGCAGACGAGCUAGACUAAGGAUCUAGUGUCAGAAAUGACGUGCGGGUUCAAGUCCCGCCUUCCGCA